RNAcentral lists this ribosomal RNA (301 nucleotides) under uncultured bacterium. RNAcentral's name for it is "partial 16S ribosomal RNA". It matches the Rfam family "Bacterial small subunit ribosomal RNA", at positions 509 to 808 of the family's 1533-position model. The record is from RNAcentral.
CAGUAGCCGCGGGAAUACGUAGGUCCCGAGCGUUGUCCGGAUUUAUUGGGCGUAAAGCGAGCGCAGGCGGUUAGAUAAGUCUGAAGUUAAAGGCUGUGGCUUAACCAUAGUACGCUUUGGAAACUGUUUAACUUGAGUGCAAGAGGGGAGAGUGGAAUUCCAUGUGUAGCGGUGAAAUGCGUAGAUAUAUGGAGGAACACCGGUGGCGAAAGCGGCUCUCUGGCUUGUAACUGACGCUGAGGCUCGAAAGCGUGGGGAGCAAACAGGAUUAGAGACCCCCGUAGUCCCUGUCUCUUAUACA